Non-coding RNA from Salmo salar (Atlantic salmon), 54 nucleotides. The record is from Rfam. NCBI's taxonomy places the organism in Eukaryota, Metazoa, Chordata, Actinopteri, Salmoniformes, Salmonidae.
UUCACUCACUUCUAUAAGUCUCUCUGGAUAAGAGCGUCUGCUAAAUGACGUAAA